CUGCAGCCCGACUUGAGCGGAAAUCCUUUUUUGCUUUUACUUCGUUUUCUAAUUGAAGACAAAGCGUCUGCAAAAAAGAUUGGGAGCGGAAGGCGGAUACAGC
RNAcentral lists this small RNA (103 nucleotides) under Epilithonimonas hungarica. RNAcentral's name for it is "Chryseobacterium hungaricum Flavo-1 RNA". It matches the Rfam family "Flavo-1 RNA". Lineage: Bacteria; Pseudomonadati; Bacteroidota; Flavobacteriia; Flavobacteriales; Weeksellaceae. The record is from RNAcentral.